GCUGGGCACGGUGGCACACGCCUGUAAUCCCAGCAGCUUAGGAUGCUGAGGCAGGAGGAUUGUGAGUUCAAAGCCAGCCUCAGCAAGGUGCUAAGCAACUCAGUGAGACCCUGUCUCUA
RNAcentral lists this small RNA (119 nucleotides) under Marmota monax (woodchuck). The record is from RNAcentral. Lineage: Eukaryota; Metazoa; Chordata; Mammalia; Rodentia; Sciuridae.